Molecule: non-coding RNA, 105 nt
Organism: Bombyx mori (domestic silkworm)
Lineage: Eukaryota; Metazoa; Arthropoda; Insecta; Lepidoptera; Bombycidae
Source: Rfam
UACUACUACUACUACUAAUAUACUAAAAUUGAAACCAUACAGAUAAUAUUAGCAUUGCCCCUUCGUAAGAAUGACUCGAAAAAUCGUGAAUCCACAUGUUUUAUU